GGGCGCAUGGUGUAGGGGUAUCACGCAUCCUUAGCAUGGAUGAGGUCCUGGGUUCAAUUCCCAGUGCGUCCA
This 72-nucleotide transfer RNA is filed under the name Ascodesmis nigricans. It matches the Rfam family "tRNA". Rfam says of the family: Transfer RNA (tRNA) molecules are approximately 80 nucleotides in length. Their secondary structure includes four short double-helical elements and three loops (D, anti-codon, and T loops). The record is from Rfam by way of RNAcentral. Lineage: Eukaryota; Fungi; Ascomycota; Pezizomycetes; Pezizales; Ascodesmidaceae.